UGACUGUAUUUUAAAAGAAUCGCCAGUAGGAUUUGCUGAUCAAACAUGGGUUGCAAGUGAAAUAGAGGAGUCAAGGAAGGCUGCAAGGUGUGCGGCUUGAGCAAGUUGGUGAAUGAAGAAUCGUUUAUUGAGAUGGGGAACCCCAGGGAAGGAGCAGGUCAGGUGUGACUUUGAGGGAACCAGAAAGUUGUUCUUCCUUACUGAGGCUCAGCUUGGACUCUUGCUUGAGUGAAAUGUCUACUGUACACCAAAGUCACUGAGGGUGCAAUGAUACGAGGAGAUUCGUUCCUGCCCGAGAGGUUGCAGAGCCCAGCAGCAGGUGACGACAAGUCUUCAGCAAUCACAUGAGGAUGACAGAAAGAAAAGCUCCCAGACGACCCCUCAGCU
Microcebus murinus (gray mouse lemur) is the source of this 387-nucleotide non-coding RNA. NCBI's taxonomy places the organism in Eukaryota, Metazoa, Chordata, Mammalia, Primates, Cheirogaleidae. The record is from RefSeq and is a predicted model, not a curated record.